ACUACGGGAGGAGGGGGGUAUUUGAGACUGAUUUUGUGGUAUUUUUCGACCGAAAAGUGCUAAUCUUUUUUGCUCACGGCAUUCUUUGGAAUGUGUAGAUUGUGGAACAAGUGCUGAAAUAUGCUUAUCUAUUGUAAUUUGGCUACGUUAGCCUUAGACAUGUUGCACUGUUGACGCUGAUGAAGAAUAGGCGGCACCAAAGCUUUAAAGACUAGUAUCUUUUGAAAUUGAAAUUUGCCUCUCAGUCUCUCAAGAAUCAAGAUGCCAAAUAGAUGUGCAGGAUUUGAUUGCUGACAAACCAGGGAUGAGGCUCAAGAGUCAAGAGAUCACCCUGCAUUGGCAAGUGGCUGGAACAACCCCAGUGCCGCACAGUUCUGCGGGAUAUUCCGGCACCUGCUCCACCGCUGCGGCGUCCGGCCCGGCAGCACAGGGAAAGUGGCAGCCCUCGACCCGACCAGCAUCCUGGCAGUCGGUCACACGACCAGCGGACGGGGAGCCAGCCUUACUACCUCGGCCUCCACCACCUCAGACAACGGUGCCACGGCUGACGGCACUCCACAUCAUCACGGAGCACGACUUCCAGCCUGGGCUGUCGUCUGGUGGGCAACAUCGUCACCUACAUCGCAGGGUUCGUGGUGAAGAAGGCGCUCGACUCUGUCAGCUGUAGCACCUGUCAGGAGGCCCUGGUGAGCGACAUCCAGCCGGACGACAUGACACAGCUUUACCACCUCUUCAUCAUCUCUGCCAGAUGAGCUAAGGUGGGGACGGGUUACAUGCCUGGGAUCUGACUGAGACCCGCUCAUACCCUGCCGAAGUGUUGGUGAUUUCAGCGGUCAGCUGUCUCUAGCCGGUGUCAGUGAGUGGCGGCCAGCUGCCGCUGGAGUGGGUAUCUACCGUCGAUAGCUGCUGUGUGGCGGAUAGCGUGGAUUUGGAUGGACACUUCAUAUUAAUGAACAGAUCAAUGUCUGGCCGAUAAAAGACGUAUUUUGUCGAUGAUUGCUUAGUGACUGAGUGGGUCCACUGGCGACCAAUGCAGUGGGCGCUGGGUUAACGCCUCGCCUCUUGUGAUCGUGUCGAUAUGUAGCACUGUUAAUUGCCGAUUCGUUGCCGGCCGUCUCUGCUCCGUGGCUGGCUGAUCCGGCACAAACUGGUGUUCGUGGCUGAAGGCGCGGCUACAGUUACACUAGCUCGCCACGUGCCUGUGCGACUAUCGUCGGUGCUGUCCGCAAGGGCGAUGUCGGUGCCUGUAGGGGGCGCGGAUUGAUUCAAAGUGAGGAAUGGGUCAUCGGAGCUCGGGUCAGGUCAUGUUCGGCUAAAAUAAGCGGAUUUUGCGAUUUGCCGCAUCCGGGUGAAUUUCCUUGCCUUCUAGUGCAUGUUUAUGCAUUUUACAUGCGUUUUUUUAGUGUUGAUGUCUAGAUAACGUGCAUUUGCCUCGAGGUCAAGGCUGCGCUUCAUAUGGGCAGUUUUCGGAGCAUCUUGCUCAUUUUAUUCGUAAUCCUUAAUUAUGUUUGCGGAUUUGUGCUCGCAAAUCAUUUUUUAAAGUAAGAUUGACACGGGAUUCGAGAUCGGCGCCCAUAAAUACACUUCACAUGACCCGCCAUGUGUCAAGGCCAUCCGAGGUCAUCUAAGGUCGCUGACCUUGUAUGACCUUAUGUGACCCGGUUCGCUAGAUUUCGAGAUGAGGUUGAUUGGGAAUGAUGUAACCCAUUUCGCCGACAGAUCACGCGUUUUGGUCGAUUUUAUAGCGAAAGAUCUCAAACUCCAGUGACUUUACUGGUUCGAUUUCCAGUGUUUGACCUGACCUCUGAGUUCACCCGUUGACCUAGUACCCUGAAAUUUGGUAUCACUGGUUUACUCACAUCGCGGACAGCAUACCUAUUUUUUCCGUUCUUGCUCCGUCGAGGGGCGAACGGCUGGAGUUCACUCCGUUCACCCUGGCUUCCCCUACUCGUAAGACGCUGACAAACUACGAACGGGUGGGGGCUAAAAUUGCACUUAUCGUCGAUCAUUGUCCAUUGCAUACUGCAUACAUAGAUAUAAAGUAUGGUAGCCAUAAUGGGAAACGAAUUUUAUCUUAAAUUAGCAUGCCAAUUGCAUCUACCUUCGGUGCCGCAUAUCCUUUAUCAGCGUCUUCAGGGCUAUAUGUCUAGGGCUGAUGUAAUUACAUUACUAUAAAUACACAUGUUUCUGCCCUUGUUUCACAA
RNAcentral lists this long non-coding RNA (2204 nucleotides) under Amphibalanus amphitrite. Its description in RNAcentral is "uncharacterized LOC122369500". Lineage: Eukaryota; Metazoa; Arthropoda; Thecostraca; Balanomorpha; Balanidae. The record is from RNAcentral.